GACGGUACCUGGAUAAGAAGCCCCGGCUAACUUCGUGCCAGCAGCCGCGGUAAUACGAAGGGGGCUAGCGUUGUUCGGAAUCACUGGGCGUAAAGCGCACGUAGGCGGAUCUUUAAGUCAGGGGUGAAAUCCCGAGGCUCAACCUCGGAACUGCCUUUGAUACUGGAGGUCUCGAGUCCGGGAGAGGUGAGUGGAACUGCGAGUGUAGAGGUGAAAUUCGUAGAUAUUCGCAAGAACACCAGUGGCGAAGGCGGCUCACUGGCCCGGUACUGACGCUGAGGUGCGAAAGCGUGGGGAGCAAACAGGAUUAG
Molecule: ribosomal RNA, 311 nt
Filed under: uncultured bacterium
Lineage: Bacteria
Description: bacterial SSU rRNA
Rfam family: Bacterial small subunit ribosomal RNA
Source: RNAcentral